Non-coding RNA from Triticum aestivum (bread wheat), 115 nucleotides. Lineage: Eukaryota; Viridiplantae; Streptophyta; Magnoliopsida; Poales; Poaceae. The record is from Rfam.
CACCUACUCCCGCCGUUCCAAAUUACUCGUCGCAGAAAUUGAUGUAUCUAGAACUAAAAUACAUCUAGAUACAUCCAUUUCUGUGACGAGUAAUUCGGAACGGAGGGAGUAUUUG